GAUGAAGAACGUAGCGAAAUGCGAUAAGAAGUGUGAAUUGCAGAAUUCAGUGAAUCAUCGAAUCUUUGAACGCACAUUGCGGCCAUAGGUAUUCCUUUGGCCAUGCCUGUUCGAGCGUCAUUUACACCCUCAAGCCUAGCUUGGUGUUGGGCGCCUGUCCCGCCGUUUUCGCGCGCGGACUCGCCUCAAAGUCAUUGGCGGCGGUCGUGCCGGCCCCCUCGCGCAGCACAUUUGCGCUUCUCGGAGGCCCGGCGGAUCCGCGCUCCAGCAAGACCUUUCACGACUUGACCUCGGAUCAGGUAGGGAUACCCGCUGAACUUAAGCAUAUCAAUAAGCGGAGGA
RNAcentral lists this unclassified non-coding RNA (342 nucleotides) under soil metagenome. RNAcentral describes it as "partial contains 5.8S ribosomal RNA, internal transcribed spacer 2, and large subunit ribosomal RNA". The stretch from base 1 to 120 matches the Rfam family "5.8S ribosomal RNA", at positions 35 to 154 of the family's 154-position model. The record is from RNAcentral.